RNAcentral lists this long non-coding RNA (658 nucleotides) under Capsella rubella. RNAcentral's name for it is "long non-coding RNA (CRUB_LNC004315)". The record is from RNAcentral. Lineage: Eukaryota; Viridiplantae; Streptophyta; Magnoliopsida; Brassicales; Brassicaceae.
UUUGUUGUCAGGAAUCCUCUAAAUGGAUCCGGCAGCAUCAUUGUCACUAGUUUUAGAGGAUUCCUGAAUACAAACAGCAUUAGUGUCAUCCUCAUCAUCAUCAAUCUCCUGUACAAUCACAAAAGAUAGAUUGCGAAUUCUUGGAUUUGAAACUGCAUAUUUCAAAUUUAAUUUCAUAACUAUUUCAUGAGUUAAUGAACUUCCCACUCUUCAGGAGAUGAUCUCUUGUUGAAGUUCCAGUUGAUAGGGAACUCAACAAGAAGAUCCAAAUAUGCAGAACUACAAAGGUGAAAAACUUAAUAAUUUUGAAAAAAAUCAUUCAUGUUGCACAUAUCCUCUGUUUAUUACAAAUUGCUUGAAUGCAUUACCUUGAUGAAUGAUUUGCAACAUUCAGGGUGAGUAAAACUUUCACUACUAGAUCCACAACAUAUCCGUUCCAACCUGAGAAAGUUCUAUCCCUUGCAGUAAUACGCUUGUUUUUAGACCAUUUUACAUUGUAUAAAAUAACUAAUGAACUAAGGUUUAAAACUCAAGCCACGAAGCAAUACCGAAGUCAAAAUAAAUAAAAUAGUACCUUGCAUUAUACGUACCACAGUUGGUGUCUCUUGCUAUAAUGCUUGUUUCAUAAAGCUUGAAUAUAUGAGAGAUGACUCCUUAC